CCAAGUGAUGGGACAAUGUGGUGACCAAGAGGGCCUCCGGCACCUGAUCAUGGCAGCCAUUCUUGACACUCUGGGCUCUGCAGAUGAUGCUGUGGAACACUUUCGCCUUAGUGUACAGCACGGUCUCUUGAACUCCGAGGAACAUUGUGUUCCAGCCUUUGCAUUGUAUGAAUUAGGCCUCCUCCUUGGUGCUAAUGAUGAGACAUUAGACGAAGGCAAAAAGUGCUUGGAGGAUGUUCGAGACAACUAUCACGGGUAUGACUUUGAAAACCGCCUUAAUGUAAGAAUUCAUGCUGCUCUGAAAAAUCUGUCAUAGAGUUGUACCUUAAUGCAUCAGUGAACUUGGGAUUGUGAUUCCCCAGCUCUAUUCAAGCAAGUUUUGUGGUCAUAUUUUGUCACUGAUUUAUACUUGAGGUUAAAUUAGUUUUGAAAAUUAUUUGUUUAGUUGUGUGGAAGUGAUAGUAGAUUUAGAAAAUUUAUAUUGACUUGUAAGUCCAGUAAUAAAUAAGUUGUUUGGACCACUUCAUAGUUUAUGUUGUGAUGCUUCUUGUUUGAUCUCAGAGACUUUGAUGUGUUGGGGUAAUGAUGGCAGUGAGUGUACAUGUAGGAGAAUAGAACAAUGUGUGAAGGAAAAUUAAGUGUAAGCCAUAUUGGCAAAGUAGGUAGAUGGACAGUACGAGUUAUGAAUUGAAUGUUCUAGAAAGAAUACAGUAAGCCCUCGAAAGUCCGGACCCUAUAAGUUCAGAUUACAGAUAAUCCGAACCUUUUCCAGGCAAGAAACAUUUGUCCAACACAUUUAAUAUUUGUUGUAUGAAAUUCCUGCUGUGUGCGGUCAUUUGAAAUAUCUGCCAGCCAGCAAUGCUUUGGCCUCUUUCCUCCUCUCAAACCAUGAGUGAGUAGUUUAUUUCCCCUUUCUUAGAAUGGACUCCCCCAUAAUGCUGCACUGUGACUGUUUAGCUAUAAGUUCAACACACAUUCAGCCACAGAAAAAUGGUAAGAUGUUAGGUAAAAUAAUUCAAACAAUGGUGAUGGUAAUCCUCCCGGGAAGAAGCAGAAGAAAAGCGCUUUUUGCAUCAUCCAUGUCACACACACCAGGUGCAUUUCAUCUGUCUCCAUUAUUUUGAAGUCAAACUACAAUUUUAUAUUGUUUGCCAGUUUGUUUUUAUAUAUUCAUUGUUAUAUUCUCAUAUGAUCAACCUCUUAUGGUGUAUGUUUCAUCAUAAAUAAUAUAAUAUACAGUAUUAAAUAAUAGAACAAAAUAUGAUAUAUAAUUUGUAAUUUGACUUAAAUGAAGUAAAAUUGUGAAAGGAAACACACAUGACAUUUAUUGCAUAUUAAAAUACAAAUUUAAAGAUCUUGGGGGACUAAUGAGUGGCUGCUUGGUGGACAGUGGCCCCUAGAACCCCCCCAAAAAAAACUUGGUAAAAGUCCAGACAGUCAGCAAGUUUGGACCCGUCUUUCCCCCUAAGUUGUCUGGGUUUACGAGGGUUUACUGUAUAUAAGUGUGUAUUUGUUGAGAGUAUUUUACAGUGACUUGGAGCAGCUAAAUCUCGGUUAUGUUUAGGUUUGUCAUUCAUGCUGCGGCAAUAAUGGUUUGUUGUUAAGUAUGCUGAUUUUUUUUUCAUAGUUGCAUUUAUUUUAGACAUCUCUUCCUUACAAGGAGUGGGGCCCCUGGUAGGCUAGUAGCCGGUCAGUUUGAUGUAAGGUUACAUAAGGUCAAGGGUUUCUACCCCUAUUGUUUGACCAGAACUGUUUUGGUAACCUGAUUGGUUUACCCUGAGGUUGAACAUGGACCAGUAGAUUAAAACAUUAGUCAGUGUAAUCACUAUUCCACCCAAGCAGUUGUAUUCAUUUGAUAUUACAAAAAAAUAAAUAAAAAAUGUGAGCAUUGAGAUUACACAUGUGUUGACAGAAAGUGAUAUUGAAAAAAAUAACAGAAGUUGAUUACUUGGAAGAACAGGCAGCCUUCACAUUUUCAAGCUACUGGUGGCUAAAUUGCCAUCUACAUUAUUAGGUGAGCUGUCUAUUUCCCAGUUAAUUAACAAUUAUUUCAAUGUUUACAGUGGUUGUUGGUUAUUGAAUAGGUCAUCCACUUGAUUUCUAUAAAAUAAAUUGCUUUUUCCUAGUUUUAUAAUAAUUAAAUGGGUCAUGUCAAGGUUUUAAAGUGUAUGUGAUACUCUUUUUGGAUUGUGUUGGUAUUUGAGUAAAGAAGACAUUUUUAUUGUGACUAUGGCCCCCCCAAAAAUCAACUUAAGAUCUGAACUUAAACAUAUACUCUACUGUACUAAAAUUUAUGUUUAUUUAAGUUGUUUCAAAGUUGUCAAAACACUUAUUUUAAGGCCCAUAGAUACAAUAAAUAUUUUCUUUUCCUAUAAAUACAUACACGUUUGAAAACUGGUAAUUUACCAACUUUGAGUCCCUGUGUGUCUCUCUGAUCAUUAUAUUUGUCCCCUGCAGAGAAUGAACACCCAGACUCCCUCUCUUUAAGUCUCUUACUUAUAAAUUAAAUAAGAAGGCUGUAGGUUGUAUCUACAGUGUUUGGCACUACGUAGUUCUCAGAUAUAUGAUUGUUCUAAAUAUAGAAUAUAUAGAGAAAUACAGGUAAAUAGAGGCUCAGAACAAAGAUAUUUUUCAUACCAAAAAGAAUUUAUAUUUUAUGAUUUCUAGUAAGAAAUAUAUUAUUUAGAUAGAUUUACAGUUACAUAACUUUGAGUGUAAGUAUUGACACUGAUUUUUUAUUAAUUUUUUAAUAUGAAUGAUUUUAUGACUUUCUGGGGGAGUACUGAGGAGUAUGUUGUACAUGCACUGUUUGCUUUGAUUGAAAUUUACAGGCUGGGGCAUUUUUUCUUAAAGUUAAUUGCUGAAGUGAAUUUAGGCAUUAGAUAUUUAUGACUUUAAAACUAUAUGUAGUUUUGUACAAUAAUAUGUUUAAAAAUUUAGAUAUGUACUGUAUAUGCACUUAAGUUGUCAAAAUACAGUACAGUGAUAUCUCCGUUAGCCGGAACAAUUGGUACAGAGCUCUUCUGGGAUGAGAGAUUUCCAGGUAAUGUGACGACUUUCUCAAACACAGAAAAAUCCCAUAUUCCCAGAAUUUUUCUGGGUGUUGGGAAAAGUUUCCAAGUCUAAGCUAAGCAUUGUGCACAGGCAGGCACUAGCCCACUUCCCCAGAAUGUUUCUGGGUACUGAGGAAAGUUUUCCAAGAGUCUAAAGUACUCAUCUCAUCUCGACUCUAAACUAUGCAUCUCAUCUUGCUCAGACAAACACACUCCCAUAUUAAUGGCUAGCAAAAAACUGCAUAAACUUUUAUUCACAGCAUUUGUUGUAAUUGAGUUAGAUGAAUUUGAUACCAUAAUGAUCUUAAAUAAAUUCUCUACAAGACAUUUCCAGUAAGAGAUUCUUAAACAAAAUAUUUUCAUGAGAUAUAAUUAUGGGGACUCCAUUCCUUUAUGAAAAAAGAAAAAAGAAAAUGUUGAUACCCGAGUCUGGAAAAGCAGUUGUAAUUAAGUUAGAAACACCUUUUAUUUCCUAGAAUAAUCCUGAAUAGGUUAUCUAAAAAUGUUGGUUUAAUAAAUAUACAGUAUUUAAAAAAUAAAACUAUAUAUUAUACAGGCGUGCGAGCCGCCUCGUGAAUGAAGUACAGUAAUGUGUUACAGCGAAGACUGGUAUUUUCCACUUGCAUGGAAUUGUCAGGUCACCCAUUGUCGGAGUGGGGGAUUAGUGGGUCUCAUGACCUAAAGAUGUCUUGAUUAAACAUAAAGCUAAGGUGUUUCUGUGUUUCCCGCUUAUUGAAUGUACAGUGUAGUACAGUAUACAUUGGUGUAAUAGUUUUUUACAUUCUUAAAACUGCUUUAACACUGUGUUCUUGGCUUAUUUUAUUCUGGUACAGCAAUGUGGAGCACUACACAACAUAAAUAGUAUGCAAAAACAGUAGCUAGCGAGGGAACUACCUUGAACAAUAGCAAUAGAGAAUGGACCAAGUGAUCCAAGCAGUAAGGCCACCCACGUGCCUGGCAUAUGGGGAUGCGUUGGAGCAUGAUGCAAUCUCUCAGAACUCCCAGAAAAUUUAUUCCCAAGCUUAGAAUGGAGAGAUUUUCUUGGAACCUUCUUGGACUUCUCUCAGAAAAUGCACCUGAUUUUCAAUCUCGGAAACUCGUUCACCGAUUCAAAAUUUAGAAAAUUUUUCCGGAAAAAUUCCAAUCCAAUUUCAAUUCUGGGUAUUGGAGGUGUUCCAGCUAAUGGGGGAUUCCGGCUAACGGAGAUAAUGCUAUGUGGUUUCGCAAAGUAUUGAAUUUAUAUUUCAAAUGUUAUUGAAAAAUUAAAACAAAUUUAAUUUAAUCUGAUUGUAAUCGAAAUACAGUUUAAGUUAAUGUGACUUGCACAGGCUGUGAGGAUAAAAUUCAUUGUUGUGCUGCUGCUGGAAAUUUGACAGCCCCAUGAAAAUAAGUACUGUACUGAAUGUUGAAUCAAGGGCUUCAACUGCAUGUUACUUGUCAUAAUAAGUUUUCCUUCAUGCUGUAGAAUGAAGCUUUCAGGCCAGGUCCAUUUUUUUGUGAUACUGUAUAGUAUUUUAAGUGCAGUACUGUAUACAUGCCAAUGAUAUAUUUGAAGAAUUUUGCUUACUUAAGAGUCAGAAUUUUGUGCUUCAUGUUCAAUCUUGGUAAAAGUUCAAUGAAACCACAAUUCAACUUCAGUAUUAUAAGUCCAUAUUCAUUCAUUUAUAUACAUUCCAACAACAGUUAAAGUGGAAAUAAACUUGAAGUAAUGA
This 4765-nucleotide long non-coding RNA is filed under the name Homarus americanus (American lobster). RNAcentral's name for it is "uncharacterized LOC121865728". The record is from RNAcentral. Lineage: Eukaryota; Metazoa; Arthropoda; Malacostraca; Decapoda; Nephropidae.